This 466-nucleotide ribosomal RNA is filed under the name Lysinibacillus macroides. RNAcentral's name for it is "bacterial SSU rRNA". It matches the Rfam family "Bacterial small subunit ribosomal RNA", at positions 53 to 501 of the family's 1533-position model. Lineage: Bacteria; Bacillati; Bacillota; Bacilli; Caryophanales; Bacillaceae. The record is from RNAcentral.
ACAUUGCAAGUCGAGCGAAUCGAUGGGAGCUUGCUCCCUGAGAUUAGCGGCGGACGGGUGAGUAACACGUGGGCAACCUGCCUAUAAGACUGGGAUAACUUCGGGAAACCGGAGCUAAUACCGGAUACGUUCUUUUCUCGCAUGAGAGAAGAUGGAAAGACGGUUUACGCUGUCACUUAUAGAUGGGCCCGCGGCGCAUUAGCUAGUUGGUGAGGUAAUGGCUCACCAAGGCGACGAUGCGUAGCCGACCUGAGAGGGUGAUCGGCCACACUGGGACUGAGACACGGCCCAGACUCCUACGGGAGGCAGCAGUAGGGAAUCUUCCGCAAUGGACGAAAGUCUGACGGAGCAACGCCGCGUGAACGAAGAAGGCCUUCGGGUCGUAAAGUUCUGUUGUUAGGGAAGAACAAGUACCAGAGUAACUGCUGGUACCUUGACGGUACCUAACCAGAAAGCCACGGCUAAC